RNAcentral lists this ribosomal RNA (465 nucleotides) under Vreelandella stevensii. Its description in RNAcentral is "partial 16S ribosomal RNA". It matches the Rfam family "Bacterial small subunit ribosomal RNA", at positions 338 to 795 of the family's 1533-position model. Lineage: Bacteria; Pseudomonadati; Pseudomonadota; Gammaproteobacteria; Oceanospirillales; Halomonadaceae. The record is from RNAcentral.
CCUACGGGGGGCUGCAGUGGGGAAUAUUGGACAAUGGGCGAAAGCCUGAUCCAGCCAUGCCGCGUGUGUGAAGAAGGCCUUCGGGUUGUAAAGCACUUUCAGUGGGGAAGAAAGCCUUGGGGCUAAUACCCUCGAGGAAGGACAUCACCCACAGAAGAAGCACCGGCUAACUCCGUGCCAGCAGCCGCGGUAAUACGGAGGGUGCGAGCAUUAAUCGGAAUUACUGGGCGUAAAGCGCGCGUAGGCGGUCUGAUAAGCCGGUUGUGAAAGCCCCGGGCUCAACCUGGGAACGGCAUCCGGAACUGUCAGGCUAGAGUGCAGGAGAGGAAGGUAGAAUUCCCGGUGUAGCGGUGAAAUGCGUAGAGAUCGGGAGGAAUACCAGUGGCGAAGGCGGCCUUCUGGACUGACACUGACGCUGAGGUGCGAAAGCGUGGGUAGCAAACAGGAUUAGAUACCCGUGUAGUC